Molecule: small RNA, 955 nt
Filed under: Pan troglodytes (chimpanzee)
Lineage: Eukaryota; Metazoa; Chordata; Mammalia; Primates; Hominidae
Description: retained intron
Source: RNAcentral
AGCCCUGCCCCCACCUCCUCCUUCUUGUGAACUGAGCUGCUUAGAAGGGCAGGAGGAGGAGCUGGAGGGCAGGUAGGGAUGCUCCCUGCUUCCAGGCCCACACACCUGCGGCCAGACCAUGGGCUGCUGGGGAGGAAGGGGAGGGGGCAGCAGGAAGGCCAACGGGAAGGUAUGGAAGCAGCUGAGCCCUUUCCUUCUCUCCUGCCUCUUUGAUCCCAGCUCAGAGCCAGAGGAGUGGUGCCUGCCAAUGCCUGAGAGAAGUCACCUGACGGAACCCAGCUCCAGUGGAGGGUGCCUGGUCACUCCAUCCCGAAGGGAAACCCCCUCUCCCACACCUUCCUAUGGACAGCAGUCCACAGCCACUCUUACACCCUCACCUCCUGACCCUCCCCAGCCCCCAAAUGACAUGCCCCAUCUCCAUCAGAUGCCCAGGAGGGUGCCCCUUGGGCCGAGUUCCCCUCUCAGUGUAUCCCAGCCCAUGCUGGGCAUCCGUGAAGGGAGGCCUGCUGGCUUGGGUGCUGGCCCUGCAGCCUCACCCCACCUCAGCCCCAGUCCUGCCCCUAGCACAGCCAGCAGUGCCCCAGGCAGAACCUGGCAGGGGAAUGGGGAGAUGACUCCCCCACUUCAAGGACCCCGUGCUCGAUUCCGGAAGAAACCCAAGGCUCUUCCCUACAGGAGGGAGAACAGUCCUGGGGACUUGCCCCCACCACCCUUGCCACCGCCAGAGGAAGAGGCGAGCUGGGCCCUAGAGCUGAGGGCAGCAGGCAGCAUGUCCUCCCUGGAGCGGGAGCGCAGUGGGGAGAGGAAAGCGGUCCAGGCCGUGCCCCUGGCCGCCCAGCGGGGGCUCCACCCAGAUGAAGAGGCCUGGCUCCCAUACAGCAGACCAAGCUUCCUGUCCCGGGGCCAGGGCACCAGCACAUGUUCCACGGCCGGCAGCAACUCUUCCAGGGGCUCC